UACGUAGGUGGCGAGCGUUGUCCGGAUUUACUGGGCGUAAAGCGCACGCAGGCGGCCUGUCAAGUCUAGGGUGAAAUCUCCUGGCUCAACCAGGAGAGGUCUCUGGAUACUGGCAGGCUUGAGGGCAGCAGAGGAGAGCAGAAUUCCCGGUGUAGCGGUGAUAUGCGUAGAUAUCGGGAGGAAUACCAGUGGCGAAGGCGGCUCUCUGGGCUGUCCCUGACGCUGAGGUGCGAAAGCGUGGGGAGCAAACCGG
Molecule: ribosomal RNA, 253 nt
Filed under: uncultured bacterium
Lineage: Bacteria
Description: partial 16S ribosomal RNA
Rfam family: Bacterial small subunit ribosomal RNA
Source: RNAcentral